CUCGCAGCUCAUGAAGUCAAGGGGAAUGAUGGAAGAAAGGCACAAUCAUUAUAAAUGGAUUUAAUGAGAAAAAUUUGGGAACUCUGUAAUUCCCAGUAGUACAAUGUACUAUGCUUACAAGUCUCACUCCAUCUAGAAGCAAAGAGCUGCUGUGUGAGCAAAAAGAAUGGGAACACUUUACAGGUAUCCUGAUGUCUGCAUGACAAAGAACUAGAACAAGAGACAAAAUGAGAAAUGUAGCAAUAGACAGGCUUGUUCAAUAUAAAAUUAAAAGGUUAGUGUAACUGCCAGAAUUAUUCAUAACUCAGGAACCAGGUUACAUUUUCCUGCAUAGACUAUUCAAAUAAUAAGACUAAAGGGAAAUGUUGUCAUGUUAUGUUGUUGCAGGGGGUAUCACAGAAAGAAAGUGAUCAUGAACCCAUUUCCUGGGGAUCGGAGGGCUUCAUACCAGUGGAGAAACAUUCUUACAGAAAAGUCAAAGGAUUCUGAGACAUCAGGCCAAUGCUGUGACAGAGAAUUUGACUAAGUAACUAACAGACAGAGUCAAGAUCCUGGCACAGUUUCUGGGAUAACUGAGUAUAACUAAGAAUUCAGGCCAUGUUUACUUUUUAUAUCUGUACUUGUCCUGCUACAUGGGCCCUACUGGGCUCUCAAUAAAUACAUUCUUAAGGAAUGAAUAGACAAACAAACUGAAAACUUCAUAUGGUUGCCUGCCUUCAUGUCUCCAGACAAAGGAAGACAUCAGAAGGUUCUCAAGCUGCCUUAAAUAUCAUAGAAGAAUUUCACGUUGAAGUUGCUGAUUUUAUUCAGCCUCUUUGAACAUGUCAACAUGGAUAUUGUCCUUGAACACACAGCUCCACAUGCCCAUGGGCUGAAGAAGAUGCUGAGAAAUGGAUUCUAUAUGUGGAAAUUUCAUGUUUAGUAGAGAAUAGCAAGAAGGUGUAAUAGAGAAGAAGAAGCAAAAUGUGGUGAUAUGCAUCUGCGUAGGAAAAACAUCACUAUAAUAAGCUGGGCUGACUCACUGAGGAGGACAGCUCCCUUCAAAGAAGGCCUUCAGGUGACUUGCAGGAAGCCCCUGGAGAAAAUGGAAUGAAAGAGGACAAGGCUUAUAUGGAGCUAAGUGAAAUAUGAGAAUAACUUACAAGUCCUGGCUAGAUAAGGUUUGAGAUCCUUUUGAGUUACCACAAAAGACUGUGUUCAAAUUUCAACUUGUAAUGUGUAAGAGGAUUCAGGGGCAGUGAGAGAAGAGAAACAACUCACUUCACCAUCAACAGAGCUAAACUGCUUCUUAGGACUAUUUCCUGACAUCACAUAGUAUCUGACAAAUUUGAAAUAAGACAAAACAUUAAGGAGAAAGGGAAAGUGGAAAAAAAUCCUCCAUUAAAUAAAAUGUAAAUGUGAGAAGGGUAA
This 1410-nucleotide long non-coding RNA is filed under the name Homo sapiens (human). Its description in RNAcentral is "HSALNT0167848". The record is from RNAcentral. Lineage: Eukaryota; Metazoa; Chordata; Mammalia; Primates; Hominidae.